AAUGAUCAGAGGCCAUGAUUGCACACCUUGACAUACCGGUGGCUUCCGGUAGUCUGUCCGAGGUUGAGCCACGAUAAGAUAUGAUCCUUCUAAAAAGUAGGGUCAAACAUGUUUGUAGAAAGCUUCAGUAUAUUUUCGAAAGUGAUAAACAAGAAGAGGAAGCUUAAUCAUAAUUUAAUUGGAGGAAAGAUGAAAAAGGAAGGACUGACUACGCCAACGCUUCACGUAUCAACAUGUCGUAAUGGGACCGAAAUUGUGUGGAAAUAAUUCUUCGUAUAGUUAAAAGUGAAAGAUACCAUCGAUCCGUAAUGUGAAGGAUGACUAAUACUCAUCAAAGCACGUCGGCAUCGAAGAUUUACGAUAUCGAAGGCAUGUCGAAUCUAAUGUUGCGACAUGAGAAAUCAAUGAAAUCACGAGAAAAAGCGGCAACUGUUUGUGCACUUCCCUUGGUAAAUAUAAAACGUUUACCAGAGUAUUAUCUGACAAUCAUCGGCGGCCAAUAGGAAAGCGUGUCAGAAGCAGCCUACUUACCAGCUUCCCUACCUAUACAAUUGAAUUGUGUUUUGAAUUCUCGGUAUUUUCCGCGAUAAGACAUGAUAAGAAAACGUUCGAA
Harpegnathos saltator (Jerdon's jumping ant) is the source of this 613-nucleotide long non-coding RNA. RefSeq lists it as uncharacterized. The record is from RefSeq and is a predicted model, not a curated record. The transcript is spliced from 3 exons. Lineage: Eukaryota; Metazoa; Arthropoda; Insecta; Hymenoptera; Formicidae.